This 253-nucleotide ribosomal RNA is filed under the name uncultured bacterium. RNAcentral describes it as "partial 16S ribosomal RNA". It matches the Rfam family "Bacterial small subunit ribosomal RNA", at positions 524 to 776 of the family's 1533-position model. The record is from RNAcentral.
UACGGAGGGUGCAAGCGUUAUCCGGAUUUACUGGGUUUAAAGGGUGUGUAGGCGGAUCUUUAAGUCCGGGGUGAAAUCCCGAAGCUCAACUUCGGAACUGCCUGGAUACUAUUGGUCUUGAAUUAUGUUGAGGUUGGCGGAAUAUAACAUGUAGCGGUGAAAUGCAUAGAUAUGUUAUAGAACACCGAUUGCGAAGGCAGCUGGCUAAGCAUAUAUUGACGCUGAGGCACGAAAGCGUGGGGAGUCAAACAGG